Molecule: small nucleolar RNA, 107 nt
Filed under: Olea europaea subsp. europaea
Lineage: Eukaryota; Viridiplantae; Streptophyta; Magnoliopsida; Lamiales; Oleaceae
Description: Plant small nucleolar RNA R71
Rfam family: Plant small nucleolar RNA R71
About the family: R71 is a member of the C/D box family of snoRNAs containing the C (UGAUGA) and D (CUGA) box motifs.
Source: Rfam by way of RNAcentral
AUUCCAUGGUGUGGACAUUUUCGCAACAUAUUCUUGAACCUAUUCCAAGCUUCAUUGAAAUUCUCCAAGUCACCUUGACGGAAGACAGAAAUGUCGUGCUUGAGCUU